This 119-nucleotide ribosomal RNA is filed under the name Xenopus tropicalis (tropical clawed frog). Lineage: Eukaryota; Metazoa; Chordata; Amphibia; Anura; Pipidae. The record is from RNAcentral.
GCCUACGGCCAUACCACCCUGAAAGCGCCCGAACUCGUCUGAUCUCGGAAGCUAAGCAGGGACGGGCUUGGUUAGUCCCUGGAUGGGAGACCGCCUGGGAAUACCAGGUGUUGUAGGCU